CCUACGGGUGGCUGCAGUGGGGAAUAUUGGACAAUGGGGGGAACCCUGAUCCAGCCAUGCCGCGUGUGUGAAGAAGGCCCUCGGGUUGUAAAGCACUUUCAGUGAGGAAGAACGCCUGGUGGUUAAUACCCAUCAGGAAAGACAUCACUCACAGAAGAAGCACCGGCUAACUCCGUGCCAGCAGCCGCGGUAAUACGGAGGGUGCGAGCGUUAAUCGGAAUUACUGGGCGUAAAGCGCGCGUAGGUGGCUUGAUAAGCCGGUUGUGAAAGCCCCGGGCUCAACCUGGGAACGGCAUCCGGAACUGUCAAGCUAGAGUGCAGGAGAGGAAGGUAGAAUUCCCGGUGUAGCGGUGAAAUGCGUAGAGAUCGGGAGGAAUACCAGUGGCGAAGGCGGCCUUCUGGACUGACACUGACACUGAGGUGCGAAAGCGCGGGUAGCAAACAGGAUUAGAUACCCCAGUGUC
Molecule: ribosomal RNA, 464 nt
Filed under: Vreelandella stevensii
Lineage: Bacteria; Pseudomonadati; Pseudomonadota; Gammaproteobacteria; Oceanospirillales; Halomonadaceae
Description: partial 16S ribosomal RNA
Rfam family: Bacterial small subunit ribosomal RNA
Source: RNAcentral